UGUACCACCUUGUCGGGUAGCUUAUCAGACUGAUGUUGACUGUUGAAUCUCAUGGCAACAGCAGUCGAUGGGCUGUCUGACAUUUUGGUAUC
This is a microRNA precursor of Ursus americanus (American black bear), 92 nucleotides long. NCBI's taxonomy places the organism in Eukaryota, Metazoa, Chordata, Mammalia, Carnivora, Ursidae. The record is from Ensembl.